Molecule: ribosomal RNA, 402 nt
Filed under: uncultured bacterium
Lineage: Bacteria
Description: bacterial SSU rRNA
Rfam family: Bacterial small subunit ribosomal RNA
Source: RNAcentral
UGGGGAAUCUUGCACAAUGGGGGAAACCCUGAUGCAGCGACGCCGCGUGAACGAUGAAGCCCUUCGGGGUGUAAAGUUCUUUCGACGGGGACGAUAAUGACGGUACCCGGAGAAGAAGCUGCGGCUAACUACGUGCCAGCAGCCGCGGUAAUACGUAGGCAGCGAGCGUUGUUCGGAAUUACUGGGCGUAAAGAGUGCGUAGGUGGUUGGCCAAGUUUGGUGUGAAAUCUCCCGGCUUAACUGGGAGGGUGCGCCGAAAACUGGUUGACUAGAGUGUGGGAGAGGGACGUGGAAUUCCUGGUGUAGCGGUGAAAUGCGUAGAUAUCAGGAGGAACACCUGCGGUGUAGACGGCGUCCUGGACCAUGACUGACACUGAGGCACGAAAGCGUGGGGAGCAAACA